UGUGUCCGCCUCUCUCUCCCUAACUCUCUCGGUGGCGACAAAGACUCAAGCUCUCCCCCGACGAGUGCUCAUCUUCUCCGGCGUAAGUAGUGCCCUUCAACUCUUCUUCUUCGGUUUCCUCUCACGGUGUGUGCUCCGGCUUCAUCUUUGUGGAUAGCGGUUGAACAAGAAAAUGCAGCUUAUUACUCGCAGCAGUUUAAGGCAAUGGAAGCAGGUUUUGUUUCUAGGGAUGAGGAAUCAUCACUGGUCGCUGCAGAGAAUGGUGUGAUGUGAGCGGUAGAAGAGACACUCCGUCUUCUUCUUUGAGCAAUUCGAUCGAGUCUUUGAGGACCAUCUUGUCUGAUCCUAUAACAGGGGCUUUGAUGUCUGAUGCUAUGAUUUUGCCUUGCGGACACACUUUUGGAACUGGAGAAAUAGAACAAGUUAAACAAAUGAUCCAGAGUUUUAUGUCUUUCAUCACAGUCUCUUCUUUUACUCUUUGCUAUUCUAUUAUCUUUUCUUGUGCUUAUGGAAUCUGUUUUUUUCGCUGUGUUCGCUUAGAAAGCUUGCUGCACUUGUAGGAUGGGAAGCUGUUGGGACUACUCAAUGUUUGAACGGCUGGUGAAGUCUAUGAUUCCUGGAUUAUGACUUUAUGGUAUGUUUUGGUGAAAACACUAGACAAUGCAGAGAGCGUUAAGCUUCGGUAUCGUUCACUGGCCAAAGCCACAGAAGAUCCAUCAGCCAAGGCAACACCAAGCAAGAUGAUCUCCAGCUGGCUCUAAGCAGACCUUCCUUGUGAAGAGACUACUUUCUGAUAGUACGUUCUCUAUGUAAGGAACAGAAACCUAUCUACAGAUCAUAGAUCACAGUUACAUAUUGUAAAUUAUUGUAGUAGUUGCUCCAUGGCAUAUCUUUGAAGAAAUUAGGUUUUGGGCAAAAGCCAGGCUACUAAUAGCUUGAACAAUCCGAAUCAUAUGAUGAAAUACAUAGUUACUCUGCUCUCAGUUUUGUUU
Brassica oleracea var. oleracea is the source of this 992-nucleotide long non-coding RNA. RefSeq lists it as uncharacterized. Lineage: Eukaryota; Viridiplantae; Streptophyta; Magnoliopsida; Brassicales; Brassicaceae. The record is from RefSeq and is a predicted model, not a curated record. The transcript is spliced from 3 exons.